CCUCAUUCAACCAGUGCGUAACACCGAGGACAGGUCACGCAGCCAUCCCGCAGCCCUGAACGCAUUUUCACGGCGCUCAUUCCUCUCGGCGCGCGAAGCUUCUCUGAGACACAGUUUGGGAUAAACAGUAACCUCACCUCACUUAACCCGGGACAUUGCGUGUGUGUUUGUGUGUGUGUGUGUGUGUGUGUGUAACGGGACUUCUUGCUGCGGAGCUUGCAGCUGGUUCGCCUGCCUUACCUGUCCCACCCGCCGCUCCGCGGUGCGUCGUGUCCGGCCAGCAGCGUCCCCAGCUGUGGUAACCCAUCUGUUGGAUCAGAACCAUCAGGAUGAAGAUGAGAACGUCCGGAGCUCUGUGUGGCUUCUUCCUGUUGACACUUGUCGUCCUCGCCGCCGCCAGGCCGAGAGCAGGUCAGUCUGCCGACACGGAGAGAAACACAUUAAAGACAAAAGAGAGAAAGAGUUUCUGUUAGUUUCCUCCUAAUUGGUUCUCUUCAACUCC
This 502-nucleotide long non-coding RNA is filed under the name Cottoperca gobio. RNAcentral's name for it is "lncRNA (ENSCGOG00000001484.1)". The record is from RNAcentral. Lineage: Eukaryota; Metazoa; Chordata; Actinopteri; Perciformes; Bovichtidae.